Molecule: non-coding RNA, 29 nt
Filed under: Mus musculus (house mouse)
Lineage: Eukaryota; Metazoa; Chordata; Mammalia; Rodentia; Muridae
Source: RNAcentral
UAGCACCUGUUAAAAAUUGGUACAUAUGG